UACGUAGGGGGCUAGCGUUGUCCGGAAUCAUUGGGCGUAAAGAGCGUGUAGGCGGUCCGGUAAGUCGGGGGUGAAAUCCUGGAGCUCAACUCCAGAACUGCCUUCGAUACUGGCGAUCUUGAGUCCGGAAGAGGUGAGUGGAACUCCUAGUGUAGAGGUGGAAUUCGUAGAUAUUAGGAAGAACACCAGUGGCGAAGGCGGCUCACUGGUCCGGUACUGACGCUGAGGUGCGAAAGCGUGGGGAGCAAACAGG
Molecule: ribosomal RNA, 253 nt
Filed under: uncultured bacterium
Lineage: Bacteria
Description: partial 16S ribosomal RNA
Rfam family: Bacterial small subunit ribosomal RNA
Source: RNAcentral